UACAGAGGGGGCAAGCGUUGUUCGGAAUUACUGGGCGUAAAGGGCGCGUAGGCGGCCUGCUAAGUCGAACGUGAAAUCCCCGAGCUCAACUCGGGAACUGCGUCCGAUACUGGCAGGCUUGAAUCCGGGAGAGGGAUGCGGAAUCCCAGGUGUAGCGGUGAAAUGCGUAGAUAUCUGGAGGAACACCGGUGGCGAAGGCGGCAUCCUGGACCGGCAUUGACGCUGAGGCGCGAAAGCCAGGGGAGCAAACGGG
This 253-nucleotide ribosomal RNA is filed under the name uncultured bacterium. RNAcentral describes it as "partial 16S ribosomal RNA". It matches the Rfam family "Bacterial small subunit ribosomal RNA", at positions 524 to 776 of the family's 1533-position model. The record is from RNAcentral.